Molecule: ribosomal RNA, 301 nt
Filed under: uncultured bacterium
Lineage: Bacteria
Description: partial 16S ribosomal RNA
Rfam family: Bacterial small subunit ribosomal RNA
Source: RNAcentral
CAGUAGCCGCGGGAAUACGUAGGGGGCGAGCGUUGUCCGAAGUUACUGGGCGUAAAGCGCGCGUAGGCGGCUUCUUAAGUCUGAGGUGAAAGGUUCAACGCUUAACGUGAACAGUGCCUUGGAUACUGGGGAGCUUGAGUAUGGGAGAGGGCAGUGGAAUGGCUGGUGUAGCGGUGAAAUGCGUAGAUAUCAGUCGGAACACCCAUGGCGAAGGCAGCUGCCUGGCCUAAUACUGACGCUGAGGUGCGAAAGCGUGGGGAGCGAACGGGAUUAGAUACCCCGGUAGUCCCUGUCUCUUAUA